Oreochromis niloticus (Nile tilapia) is the source of this 1152-nucleotide long non-coding RNA. The record is from Ensembl. NCBI's taxonomy places the organism in Eukaryota, Metazoa, Chordata, Actinopteri, Cichliformes, Cichlidae.
AUGGACGUAAAGCAGCGCAAACUCCAAGGCAUGGAGGAAAAGUACAAAGCGCUUCAGGCAAGGCAUGAUAAAACACUGAACAAGAAUAAAGAGUUGCUUCAAGAAAAAAAGCAACAAGAAAUUAAACAGAAAGAAAUGGACUGCAAGCUUGAAGACGUGGAGGAAAAAUACACAGCGCUGAAAAUAAAGUUCGAUAAAACAGUGCAAAGAAAUAAGGAUUUCAAACAAGAGAAAGAACAGCAAGAUAUGAAAGAGAAAGAUCUGGAUUGCGACCUUCAGAACAUCAAGAAACACAACAAAGGUUUGCAAGCAAUGCUUGAUGAAGCUCUGCAAAAAAAUAAAGAAAUCCAUGAAGAGAAAGAAAAGCUGGACAUAAAGCAGAGAGACAUGCAGUGCCAACUCCAAGGCAUGCAGGAAAAAUACGGAGCGCAGCAGGUAAAGCUUGAUGAAACACUGCAGAAAUAUCAAGAGCUGCUUCAAGACAAAAAACAACGGGAAAUAAAGCAGAAAGAAGAAAAACAAACUCUCCAGGACUUUGAGAGGAAAAACCAAAAACUGCAAGAACGUUAUAACAAAAUGAACAACAAAACAACUGAACUGGAGAGGGAAAAGAAAACACUGCAAAAACAAUGCUCAGACAUGCAGAGUAAGCUCAAUGACAUCCUGAGAAAAAACACAGAACUUGAGGAACUUUCCAACAACUUGAAGUGCAAAAACACUGAGGUGCAGAUGUUAAAGCAGCAACUAGAGAAAACAAACAAAGACCUGCAGUGUACACUUCAACAAAUCGAGAGAAGUCAGCAGCUAGAAGACACGCACAACAAAUUAGAACAGUGUUAUACAGAGAUGCACAAGGCAAAGCUAAUGCAGGAGGCAAAAUGUAACGAACUGAAAGAAAGGCUGGAAGAAAAACAAGCCAAAUUAGAAGAAGUGGAGAAAACAUGCAGGAAACUUGAGAAGGAAAAUACACAAAUGAUCGAUGAGUUAAGAACCCUCAUCCUAGAGAAAAAAGUGCUCGUGGAAAAGCUCAUGGAAAAGAAGAAAAAACGCUUCCGUUUCUUCUGGAGGAGGGACACUCCUGCUUUUUCUACGUUUUCUACGUUUUCUGCUGCUGAUGUCACCUCGUCUUCCUCCACCUCUGUUCCAUCGUAA